UUUGUACGUAGCACAAGCACAGCACAAAAUAUGUUUAUAAAUUCACAACAGUGUUUUUUAUGUAUUUAUAUAGUGGAGCGAGACAUUUUUCACUAUGUAGUAGGUCAAUAAGGCGGCGGGAGGAAGUUACUUGAUUGUCAAUUUGAAUAAUGUCACUGAUUUCACUCGCAAGCACUAAUCUUUGAAUAGAAAAUUGACGACACACAAAAAUCAUAUGUUCUAUGUCGGGCGAGUCUUCACUAUUGCAAUACGGACAAGUUUGCUGCUCAAUUAUUCGCAGUCUUGUAAGAUGUGCUGGUGUCUUAUGGUGACCAAAUCUCAGUCUAUUGAUGGUACAUAUGAAUUCUCGGCUAGCACGUUUGUAUUCGGGCUUCGAAUACCAUGGCUUAGUUGAUAAAUACGACACAAAUGUGGAGAGACACUUUGUAAGAUGUCAACUGCAUCAGCCAAUGGACCCGAGACUGGUAUCAGGUCCGUGAUAAGUGAGAUAAAACUAUCAGCACAACUACGCCCUCUGCGAAAUCCAUACUGAAAAUAUGGAAAGACACAAUUCGACUCUGCAUACCAGUCAAGGCGAUUUUUAAUCAUGUUCUCAAAUAUCUUUCCCAGACAUGAAGACAAUGAAAUAGGUCGAUAUGAAGUUGCAAGAUCAGGAGGUUUACCAGCCUUUAAUACUGGAACAACACAUUGCGUUUUCCAUGAGUUUGGAAUAGAUUUUUGAAGCCAUAAACUAUUUAGAAUUUUAAGAAAUAAUUUCUGUACAGUAAUAUGUAAAUUUUUUAUAAGUAAAUAUGGAAAAUUAUCUAGA
This is a long non-coding RNA of Pectinophora gossypiella (pink bollworm), 808 nucleotides long. RefSeq lists it as uncharacterized. The record is from RefSeq and is a predicted model, not a curated record. The transcript has 3 exons. Lineage: Eukaryota; Metazoa; Arthropoda; Insecta; Lepidoptera; Gelechiidae.